GGCAAUUAUGGAGGCUGCUCAAUUACUGCUUUAUUUCGGAGUUGAACAAAUCAUCUAUGUUUCUGAAAUGACGCACUGCUAAAUAAAGGUCUAUUCUCCGAAGACUGCGCCUUAUGCUAGUGAGGAAAAUGAUGUGGUUCGUGAGCAAUGGGCUAAGUUUUAUACCAGCAUGUAUUUAUUAUUGAUCUGAGGGCGCUUGAUCGAGUUGGUUUAGAUGUUAUAGAACAAUUUUUUAUGUUGAAAUGUAUGCUUACGUUGAAAUUGGAACGUACAUAUAUUUAUUUAAAUGUAUAUAUAUGGUACGUGCACUUUGGUUUUGGGAUAUAUAUACAAAACACCAGUUAUUGUUUUUA
Spinacia oleracea (spinach) is the source of this 353-nucleotide long non-coding RNA. RefSeq lists it as uncharacterized. The transcript has 2 exons. NCBI's taxonomy places the organism in Eukaryota, Viridiplantae, Streptophyta, Magnoliopsida, Caryophyllales, Amaranthaceae. The record is from RefSeq and is a predicted model, not a curated record.